GUCAUAACGGCGACCGUGAAGACUUUUAAAAUAGAGACCAACGUGGCCGGGCAGGAAGAGCAGGGUCCCGCCUUCAGGUGUUUGGGACUCAGCUGAGGGUGUGGGUGCCCCGCGGUGGGGGCUGAACCUUCCUGGGGUGUGGAGAGACGAAAGGAGCCCAGAUCCAAGUUCCCUCGUUCCCGCUUUGGCAUAAGUUGCCCUGGCGGUCUCAUGAGAGAGAGAAAGAGCUGGGACCCUCCUCGCCCCAGUGAGUGUGAUGUCUUGCUCCGGGUGUCCUGGGGCAACUUUCUAUACAGGCGGGACGUGGGAGGAUCAGACAGUGUAACAUCAGACAAGGGUGUUGACUCUGCAGCACAGAACCAGUAGUUUGUGGAGAAGAAUGGAGGUGUGGUGUUGAAUCUGCUAGACAGGCUACUGAAGCAAAAGUCAAGAGAUCCAGAUUCCAUCAUGGGGACACUUUAGUUCUUCAUCGGGUAAUUGAGCUGAUAUCAGGUGUCUGAAGGAGGCAAGUUUUGAAGAUGUGGGUCAUGAUGGCUGCUGAAGCUUCCACUCCAUAUUUGAAGGUCAGCAGUUCUCAGGAAACCUCUAGCACUUCCAUCCCUGGUGGGAUGUGAUGCCUGUCUCAGUGUAACAUCAGAGAAGGGGUGUACUCUGUGCCCUAGAACUAGGAGCUAACAGAGAAAAACCAAAUGUGAUGUGGAGUCUGCUAGACAGGCUACUGGAGCAAGAGUGAAGCGAUGAAAGUCUCAUCAUUGGGACAUAUUAGGGCACAAUUAUUUUAUCUUGGAACCAACAAUCUUCGGAGAAUGUAUCCCAAAGAUACAAUUCAAAAAGAUAAAAAGGCAGAAGCACAAGGUCAUUCUUGGCAGAACAAAUUGUAACAGCAGAAGACUGGAAAUAAGACAGAUGUCCACCAAUAAAGGACUGACUGAAUAAUCUAAGGUGCAUCUACAUCCUAGAUUUCAAUGCCGGUAUAACAAGCAAGGAAGAUUCCCUCUCUCUGCUGCUAUGUAGUGAUUUCCAGGAUAUACCAUUAAGUGAAUAAAGCAAAGUGCAGAAAAAUGUGUAGAGCUGCUGUUGUCCCAUACCAUACCCACUGGCCACUCAUGGCUAUUUAAGUUAACUAAAUUUAAAUGGAAUUUUAAAUUCACUUCCUCAGUCACACUCACCACAUUUUAGGUGUUUAAUAGUCACAGGUAGCUAGUGGCUACUAUGUUGGACAGUUGAGACAUAGAAUAUUUUCACCUUUGUAGAAAUUCUAUUGGACUCCACCAGUGUAGAAUAUGUCACCUUAUAUAUAUGGAAUAGGAGAAAACUAAUAGAAACAUUCUAUUUGCUUAUAUUUUUAAAAUUGGAAAGUUUUAAUGAAAAUUGAUUUAAAAAAUCAUUACCUAUAAAGAGAAGGAAAAACAGCCCAGGACAGAAGCCAAUAAUGUCUUUUCCCUUAAAAAUAUAAUAUAUAUACACUGGCUCCAUGCACUAGAAAGGUGAAGAAACAUGAUAGACCCAGUAGCAAUGAGCAACUCUAGUGCCCAUAUUGAAUCCACUUAAAACACAUCACACUGAAAGGAACUAGGUUAUCUUAGAGAAAUGACUGAGUUUAGGUCUGUGUAGCCAUUCUACUAGAUGAAUCUGGACCAAACUAUCAUGCCAGAGAGUGCGUCAAAAAGACUCAGAAGCCAAGCUUAAGGGGCUCUCGCUGGACAAAGAUGAAGCAAUUUGAACAUUAAAUAAAAUAAUGACUACUAUGGAUUAAAACACAUUAUAAUAUAAAAACUUCUACAGCUCAUGAUGACACUCUAAAAGAAAAAUAAAAUAAAACAAACAAUAUCAACUCAUUGCUUGCCUUUGGAGAACCCUAGGGAAACAACUCAUUGUUUUGAAAAGUGGAAAUAUUGCAAAAGAAUUAGGCACUCAUCCAACCCUUUCUAUACAUACUAUCCCUCAGUGUAACCUAAUGGUUUAUGAAAGUUUAUUUAAUAGAAUAAUUCCAGCUAAUAAAGCAGAGAAAAUUAUAGAAUUAGAAUAUCAUCCUUUUAUGACCUUUAAUGAAUAUAGAACUAAGCAACAAUCCUUAGACGCUGCAGAAAAAUCGAGGUGAAAAAGGGAUGGGAAAUUUUAUAAUGGAUGGAUCAGCUUAACAAUACUUGAACAUAGUAAUUAAUCUUAACAUCACAAGAGGAGAGACAAUUAGACACAAUGAGCCCCCUGUGUAACACUAUAGGAAUAAACAAUACCACAUAUGAAGUACUUCUGACCAAAACAAAUCUAAAUUGAAUCAAGCCUCUGAAUCUAACACCAUUUUGUUAAAUUUUUUUAUUAUACUUUUAAGUUCUGGGAUACAUGUGGAGAAUGUACAGG
Molecule: long non-coding RNA, 2361 nt
Filed under: Homo sapiens (human)
Lineage: Eukaryota; Metazoa; Chordata; Mammalia; Primates; Hominidae
Description: HSALNT0408341
Source: RNAcentral